UUAAUACAGCACAGCAGGACCCGGUGUGUGUAACAGAGAAUGAAGUGUGGGUGUGUUGGGUGUGUUCUGAGCUUCAGUCUUGUACAGGAUGAUGGUUCGACUGAGCAGGAAACCGCAGAUCUGUGAAUCAUGGAGGAGAUAAUCUCUGAUCGUCCUGAUUCUUCUCCAUCAUCUCCUAACAAUCCAUCUUCACCUUCAUCUGAAACCCUGCACAUGGGUUUAGCGAGUCCGGCUUUGGUGAUGGAGUUGAAGAAACCACACACACUGAAACCUGUACACACACACACAGGCCUCACUACAGUGUUCUGUGGGCGUGGUCGCACCAAUGCUGCCUCCAGCCAAUCAGAGUCCCCGCCUCCUUCUGCCUCCACUAAUCAGCACGCAGCAAAAAGCCAGAGCCUGUCUAAUGAAAAGCCAAACUAAGAGGAGUGUGGAAGCUCUGCCCCGCCCUGUCUACAGUCAUACUGCUCUUUAUUUAGCUGCACAUACGGUAUAAUGUAGUAGAGGCCACGCCCAUACGGCAGGGGUACACGCUCCAGCCCAGCACAAGCUGUGAUUAAAGAGUGUGGGCGGGGCUUGUUCACUUCAUCAGUCUCAGAGAUAAGAGGAUCCGGCUGAUCUUGUGUAACGGUUCCUGACCGUGAGUCCUGGAGAGCUCAAACCCUCCGGAGUUUCAGAACCUGCAGAUGAUUUAGGACACGACCUGAAAUGCUACCGUCCGUCCGAACCUCCUCACUGUAGAAUCACUGAUUGUUUCAGCACAAAAAUGUUAUUAUAUAAAAAACUCACAUUUAAUUAUUUUAUAUCAAUAAAUGAAAUAAAAAUCUGAAACUUC
Trichomycterus rosablanca is the source of this 835-nucleotide long non-coding RNA. RefSeq lists it as uncharacterized. The record is from RefSeq and is a predicted model, not a curated record. The transcript is spliced from 6 exons. NCBI's taxonomy places the organism in Eukaryota, Metazoa, Chordata, Actinopteri, Siluriformes, Trichomycteridae.